GACGGAGGAGGCAAGCGUUAUCCGGAAUCAUUGGGCGUAAAGCGUCCGUAGGUGGCUUGGUAAGUCGGCUGUCAAAUCACAUGGCUCAACCAUGUAACGGCAGUGGAAACUGCUAGGCUAGAGUGCGGUAGGGGUAGCGGGAAUUCCCGGUGUAGCGGUGAAAUGCGUAGAUACUGGGAAGAACAUCGGUGGCGAAAGCGCGCUACUGGGUCGCAACUGACACUGAGGGACGAAAGCUAGGGUAGCGAAUGGG
Molecule: ribosomal RNA, 253 nt
Filed under: uncultured bacterium
Lineage: Bacteria
Description: partial 16S ribosomal RNA
Rfam family: Bacterial small subunit ribosomal RNA
Source: RNAcentral